Molecule: ribosomal RNA, 452 nt
Filed under: uncultured Sphingobacteriales bacterium
Lineage: Bacteria; Pseudomonadati; Bacteroidota; Sphingobacteriia; Sphingobacteriales
Description: bacterial SSU rRNA
Rfam family: Bacterial small subunit ribosomal RNA
Source: RNAcentral
CGGAGGAGCAUGUGGUUUAAUUCGAUGAUACGCGAGGAACCUUACCUGGGCUCGAACGUAAGAUGACUGUAGGUGAAAGCUUACAUCUCUUCGGAGCAUUUUACGAGGUGCUGCAUGGUUGUCGUCAGCUCGUGCCGUGAGGUGUCGGGUUAGGUCCCAUAACGAGCGCAACCCCUACCUUUAGUUGCCAUCAGGUUAAGCUGGGGACUCUAAAGGAACUGCCUACGCAAGUAGUGAGGAAGGCGGGGAUGACGUCAAAUCAGCACGGCCCUUACGCCCAGGGCUACACACGUGCUACAAUGGCCGAUACAGAGGGCAGCUACCUGGUGACAGGAUGCAAAUCUCCAAAGUCGGUCUCAGUUCGGAUCGGAGUCUGCAACCCGACUCCGUGAAGUUGGAUUCGCUAGUAAUCGCGCAUCAGCCAUGGCGCGGUGAAUACGUUCCCGGGCCUU